AAUGACUAUUUUAAACAGAGACAAGGAACAAGCAGUGAGUCAAGCUGAAUCACUGCAAAACCACCAAAGCUAAAAUCAGCCUGUUAGGGCAGCGCAACCAAGGUCAUACUUUGUAUGGACCACCGUGCAAUUUGAAAUACAAAUGCUAAUCUUAAAUUAUUGUCUACAACUUUGCUUUGCUUUUUUUUUUCUUGUGACAGAAGUGAAAGACUCAACUAAUGAAUCAACUAAAAGGAAUACUGCAUCAGCACAGCUGUAGCAUUGUGGAAAAAGCAGGAUUUAAAAGUGGCGAUCGAAAAUCUACACAGCCCUGUUCAAACGUCAGGUUUUUGUCAUACAGAAAAAUGAGACCAAUGGAAAUCAUUUAUAAAAAGCCUUUUUCCAACAUUAA
Hippocampus zosterae (dwarf seahorse) is the source of this 391-nucleotide long non-coding RNA. RefSeq lists it as uncharacterized. Lineage: Eukaryota; Metazoa; Chordata; Actinopteri; Syngnathiformes; Syngnathidae. The transcript has 2 exons. The record is from RefSeq and is a predicted model, not a curated record.